AACGAACGCUGGCGGCAUGCCUAACACAUGCAAGUCGAACGAGACCGUCGGGUCUAGUGGCGCAGGGGUGGGUAACGACGGGGAACUUGCCCUUAGGUUCGGUAUAACUCCCCGAAAGGGGUGCUAAUAAAGGUUAAUGUCAUCGCAGCAAAGACCUACCGCUGUUGGGUGGGGGCGCGUUGGAUUAGCCAGUUGGUAGGGUAAAAGCCUACCAACGGGACGAUGCAUAGCUGGUCUGAUAGGAUGAUCAGGCACACUGGGACUGAGACACGGCCCAGACUCCUACGGGAGGCUGCAGUGGGGAAUAUUGGACAAUGGGCGCAAGCCUGGUCCAGCAAUGCGGCGUGUGUCAGGAAGGCCUUAGGGUUGUAAAGCUCUUUUUCCCGGGAUGAUAAUGACAGUACCGGGAGAAUAAGCUCCGGCUAACUCCGUG
RNAcentral lists this ribosomal RNA (433 nucleotides) under uncultured bacterium. RNAcentral's name for it is "partial 16S ribosomal RNA". It matches the Rfam family "Bacterial small subunit ribosomal RNA", at positions 29 to 507 of the family's 1533-position model. The record is from RNAcentral.